Molecule: long non-coding RNA, 580 nt
Filed under: Homo sapiens (human)
Lineage: Eukaryota; Metazoa; Chordata; Mammalia; Primates; Hominidae
Description: HSALNT0306615
Source: RNAcentral
GCCAUGAUUGUGAGGCCUCCCCAGACAUGUGGAACUGAUGCUAUAUUGAAUUUUUGGAGAGAAAGUGAAACAUGUCUGGGUCUAAGCAAGAAGUGAAUAUCUGCUUGGAGAUUCUGUACAAGAUGGUGGGGCUAGAGAAGCAACCUAGAAAGCAGGGGAUCUCUUAAAAGGACAAGGAGCAGCAUUAGGAAAGGGAAGGGUGUUAGAGAUGGAUUUUCAUCCUAGACACCAGCACAGAAGGAACUCUGAAAAAUGUGAGUACAGUAUAAACAGUGGGAAUUAAAAAGGUAAACACUUUCUGGUUGUAUCUGUUUUUAAAGACAAUGACAACUACUGUAUAAUGUUGGGGUUUAAAAAAGAAGUGUUUGGAAUAUAAAAUCAUUCUUUGGUUUAAAAAUACUGAAUUUAAUAGAAUUGAUUAUUUUCACACUAGAAAUAACCCACUUGCCUACCCUAGUGAAAAACUAAGAAAUACAAGGAAUUAAAAGCAUGAAUCAAGUUAUUAUUGCUUUAUUCUCAAAAACCUUGUGAUUACAAGCAGAUUCUAAAAAUUAAGUUUAAAUCCACUAUGUAUUGUUCA